This 557-nucleotide unclassified non-coding RNA is filed under the name Hevea brasiliensis (rubber tree). Lineage: Eukaryota; Viridiplantae; Streptophyta; Magnoliopsida; Malpighiales; Euphorbiaceae. The record is from RNAcentral.
AGGAUAUCUCUGUCGUCGCUGGAAUUGAGGCGAGGGGUUUCAUUUUUGGCCCUCCGAUAGCUCUGGCUAUUGGUGCAAAAUUUGUUCCCAUGAGAAAACCCAAGAAGUUGCCUGGUGAAGUCAUUUCAGAAGAGUACUCUUUAGAGUAUGGAACCGAUAAAAUAGAGAUGCAUGUAGGAGCUGUUGAAGCUGGGGAACGUGCUCUUGUGAUAGAUGAUCUCAUUGCAACUGGGGGAACCUUGUCUGCAGCAAUAAGGCUACUUGAGCGAGUUGGCGUUGAUGUGGUCGAGUGUGCAUGUGUGAUUGAGCUGGACGGACUAAAGGGCCGUGAACAAUUGGGAGGCAGACCUCUAUUCGUUCUAGUUAAUGCAGCAGGAUGAUCGUAGAGCCUUCAUAUGCAAUAUGCCAUGUUUGGAAAUGGUGAUACUAAGAUUGUAUCACUGCUAGAAGUUGAAGUUUCCAAGUAGUGCAUAAUUUUGAAGCGGAGUCUGGCUAGAAAUAAAGGGGUUGGUAUUUAUUUGAGAGUUGAAGAGGUUUAAACAAAAAGAAGAAGAAAG